This 218-nucleotide unclassified non-coding RNA is filed under the name Hevea brasiliensis (rubber tree). Lineage: Eukaryota; Viridiplantae; Streptophyta; Magnoliopsida; Malpighiales; Euphorbiaceae. The record is from RNAcentral.
AUAAGACCACCCAUUCCAACAAGGGCAGCAUAACCAAGAGUCAGCUUCUGAGACAUAGACAAUGCCAUCUUCUUCUUCUCACCGCUGCUACCGUCCAAUGAAUCCCCUUCACCUUCGUUACUCUGAUCACCACCACUACCAGCACCUCCUUGUCCUCCGCUAUUAUCACCGCCUCCACCACCACCCCCACCGCCGCGACCUCCUAUAUCACCAUAACC